UAGAGGCUAAAUACCAUUCUUUUCCCCAACCUCUAAAUUGCCCAUUCAGAGCACGAUAGGAACACUGAAAGAUUACUUUUUAAUUUUUGCCCUCAUUUUUUCAUCAUCGUUCUUUAUGCACUUUCAACUACAACCUCCACAUUCAUUCCCUUCUCCAUUUCCAAAACCCUAAAACAUAAUUUUGCCUCACCAACUUCUUCAAUCUUUUCCUCAUAAGAAUCAAGAUAGUAGAAAUUUCUCAAUUAGCGGCAAAAUCUUCAGCAAGGAAAAAAAUCUUGACUCAAUUGAAGAAUGCCAGAUCAUAGUAUUGCUAACCAGUUUCUCAAUAGUUAUUCAGAUUUCUUGAACCGAAAGCAAGUAAUUUUCAAAGAAGCUUGUGCAGCAUAAGUAACCCUAAAACUGAUGAUUGUUUUGAUUUUUUCUUAUGCAAAUUAGUAUGUUGAAUCACGAGUUUAUUUCCCUAUUUUGGGAUCAAGAUUUUCCUCAUUAGUUACUUAUUUUUGAAGUCUAAAUCUUUAGUGAGUUCUCUUCUCCUUGUGCUUAGCUUAUGAAAUGUAUUUACUACUAGUUUUUUUUUAUUCCUUUUAUGUAUUUUAUUCUCCUUGUUGUGUUGGGGAAGUGGGUUCCAGAGCUGAGACAUUAUGCUCCGACAGCGCCGAUUGUUCUUGUGGGGACCAAACUAGGGUCUUGGACUGAAUAAGCAAAUAGGAGCACUAGCAUACAUAGAGUGCAGCUCGAAGACACAACAGGUUCGUAUAGCAUUUGUGUCAUUUGUGAUGAAACUAUUAGCCCAAAGUGCCUAUCACAUGUACUUGGAGGAUCCUGAUAUACUUCCAUUCCUUCCAAGUGCAAUCUUACAAUAUUUAAAUUAAUAGAAAGAUCAAAUUAUGACAAAAUCAAUUCAUUGAGCACCGACACUGAUUUGACAUCUUACUUUGGAUUUAAGUUUGUACAUUGGAGGAAUUAAUGAAUGACAACAUUCAUUUAAAAGUUCAUUCUUUCUAGAAGUUCAGAAGUUAUGUGUUGAAAUUUGUAGAAUGUUACAGCUGUAUUUGAUGCUGCUAUCAAGGUUGUUCUUCAGCCUGCAAAGAAAAAGAAGCAAAAUAAGAGAACAAGUAUAUGCCUUGUUCUCUAAACAGAAAUUCCCAAGUGCAAAAACCAGUGUGAAGUUGACAAUGUGAUUCUCUUCUUAUAAUUCUGUGCAUUCUUGAUCUUGUUUAUUACAAAUCUUUUUCGAGUUGAUUUUGAGUGCUUGUUGUCCUUCUGAGGCAGGGAGUUUGCAAUAGUUUGAUCAGUGUGAAACCACUUGUGUAUUAUCUUCAUGAACUCAAGGGUGUUUGGAUUUUGUAAAUUGACUGCAUAUUGAAAUGAUUUGAUGUGAAUGAAAAUUGCUUCUUUUUGAACA
Gossypium raimondii (Peruvian cotton) is the source of this 1405-nucleotide long non-coding RNA. RefSeq lists it as uncharacterized. The transcript has 2 exons. NCBI's taxonomy places the organism in Eukaryota, Viridiplantae, Streptophyta, Magnoliopsida, Malvales, Malvaceae. The record is from RefSeq and is a predicted model, not a curated record.